AUUAACGAUGAUGAGCUAUUUAUACAGACACAGACCUGUAAUGAUUUGCGAAAAUGAUCGCAAUUUUAUGAACAUCUAAGGGACUGAGUUUUU
Molecule: small nucleolar RNA, 93 nt
Filed under: Nicotiana sylvestris (wood tobacco)
Lineage: Eukaryota; Viridiplantae; Streptophyta; Magnoliopsida; Solanales; Solanaceae
Also listed under: 1 other name
Description: Small nucleolar RNA SNORD25
Rfam family: Small nucleolar RNA SNORD25
About the family: U25 is a member of the C/D class of snoRNA which contain the C (UGAUGA) and D (CUGA) box motifs. U25 is found in gene clusters in plants, and within the U22 snoRNA host gene (UHG) in mammals.
Source: Rfam by way of RNAcentral